RNAcentral lists this ribosomal RNA (1911 nucleotides) under Triticum aestivum (bread wheat). Its description in RNAcentral is "partial small subunit ribosomal RNA". Lineage: Eukaryota; Viridiplantae; Streptophyta; Magnoliopsida; Poales; Poaceae. The record is from RNAcentral.
AUGGAGCCUGCCGGGCUCGCCGCCGGCGAUCUUGGCGAGCCGGUCGGGCGUGACGGCGACGGGGGGCCCCAGGGCGAAGCGAUUGUCGAGGGUGGUGCUGUCAGGCGCGGCACGGGCGUGCGCGCCAGCGGCGCCGGCGAGAUGACCAACCGGAACGCGCCUGGUCAUGACGCCAAGACCUCCGAUACGGAGGAGAUGUCGUGCGUCAUCAACGCCGGCAAGACGAGCAAGGCGGAGGCGCCCCGCCAUGACGCCAAGGCCGGCGAUACGGAGGACAUGUCGGGCGCCAUCAACGCCCGCAAGACGAGCAAGGCGGAGGCGCCCCGCCAUGACGCCAAGGCCGGCGAUACGAAGGAGAUGUCGGGCGCCAUCAACGCUCGCAAGACGAGCAAGGCGGAGGCGCCCCGCCAUGACGCGGAGAAGGAGCUGCCGCGCGCCAGCGAAGCAGGCAAGACGAGCAAUGCUGUCGCGCCCGGCCACUACAUCAAGGCCCUCGAUACGGAGAAGGUGCUGCCGCGCGGCAGCGACGCAGGCGGGACGAGCAAAGCGAUCGCGCUCGGCCAGGACUUCAAGGUUGCCACUGCGGAGGAGAUGCCGCGCGCGGCUACGGAUGUUUGCUCUGUUUGGAGGGAGAAUUGGGAGGAGAGCUUGCAGAGUAUGAGCGGCUUCUUGGAUCUCCCAGGUACCAUGACCAUUGCUAUAGACACAGAGUAUGCAACCAAGUGCCUGCUUAGAUUGGAACAGCCACAGAACGGUGACGAGUGGUACAGCCAGCUGCAGGCUACUGCAGGGACUGCGGAUUUGGUACAGGUCGGGGUCGCGGUGACGUUCGCCGACGCCGACGCAGAGAACAUAGAACCGAUCAGGGUAUGGGAAUUCAAUCUCUUCUUUGACUCCAAAUCAAACCAGUAUAAUCCGAGCACUCUGCUGUUUUUGGAGAAGAAGUGCCGGCAUGACCUUGAAAAGCACAGGCAGUAUGGUAUUAUGCCAACUGACUUCUUCCAGUGGGUCUAUGAGCUCCACAGCAUAUUUGCAAGACGAUCUGUGACUGUUGUCACGUACCAGGGAGAUGCGGACAUCGCACUUCUAAUCUACCAAGGUGCUCCAAUGCCUGCAAGGCGGCUCGACUUUCUUCUGGAUAUCAGCAACACUUUUCCUGCAUUGGUCGACACGAGAGUUCUUGCCAUGGUUUGGGCACCAGAUUUCUGCGGGAAGUUAGAUGACCUUGCUGACAUGUUGGGCCUCUCUAGAAGUGGAACAAGACAUCAUGCAGGGUCAGAUGCGGCGCUGACCCUCAGGUGCUACUUUGCAAUGCGAAGGUUGCUGGGAGAUCAGAAGGUGCUCAGGGGAGUACUUUGCGGCUUGUUUCAAAGCGAACCAUCAGUGUGCACUGCGAGAAUAGCCUGGGAUCCUUCAAUCAGCAUUUUGCAUGUCUGGGGUAAAAACUUUGAUGAGGUUGCCGGCCAAUUUGGAAGGUUGAUUGAGAACAAUUUCACUGUCGUUACUGUCAAAGUCCUCUUUGACCCGCCUCUUCGAAAGGGUCCGUUCAAUCGUGAUCCUCAGUUCUGCUAUUCAAACAUGCAACUAAGGCUCGAUGAAAAGAUAAGAUGCACUAUUGCUAUGGUCUUCGCCACUGGCCAUGGGCAAGUGGCGAAUUCGGCAUCCUUUGUGUUUCAUAUCUGCUUUUCCGGCGGGGAGUAUAUUGAGCCAGUACAGUUCGCUAGGAUGUUGGAUGAGCAAGGAGUGCUAUGCAACCCAUACCUGACUUGGGUUACCUUCCUAGGGGCAGAAUCCGUCGCUUUCAUAUAUGACAUGGUUUAUCAUAGUUUCCAAUUCUGGAUUCCCACCAUGUUCAGUCACUACAAGGUGAGCAGAACGGGCAUGUUUCCGGUUCCAGAGGCAGCUCACUGA